Uranotaenia lowii is the source of this 625-nucleotide long non-coding RNA. RefSeq lists it as uncharacterized. The record is from RefSeq and is a predicted model, not a curated record. The transcript has 3 exons. NCBI's taxonomy places the organism in Eukaryota, Metazoa, Arthropoda, Insecta, Diptera, Culicidae.
GCAAUUCCGUACCAUUUAUGCAUAGUUUCGCUGCUGGUUGAAAAAACUGAAGCACAUUCCGAACUUUGCCUUCAAUUUCGGAAUUGUCCCAGUAACCCGGUUCCAGAUUCCCCUAAAUUAUCUUCAUUCGGUAGGCUGCCACCCAUAGAAGCCGGGGUGGUUGAAGGAUUCUUCAGAUUAGCUGCGAUAAUCACAAGCUGUUGGUGUCAUGUCGAUUUUUUCGAUGUGUUUCAAUGCGAUGUGGCCCAACGAAGGCUGGAAAAAGUCUGCCAGAAGACGUUCGAUGUGUGAACGUAUCACAUUGGGGUCAGCUUCCGGUACUACGGCCGAGACGGUGCAAUGCAUGCAACCGGGGAAAAUUUCGUUGACACGAUGCAAUAAAUCAAUCCAACCUAGUCGUCAUGGUCCAAGCGAAAAAUGCAUUUCAAGCACAAGUGGAUCGGCUGAGGUGUUUUGCAGAUGUCCUAGCUAGCAACAUCGAGUACCGUCGCAUGGUGCUACGUUGGCCCUUUUGAACUUGGAUGAUCAGGCCAAGUUGAUUGUUCUGCCAAGGCCCUUCGGAUUGUAGCUGUCGAUGCAUGGUACUCACGAUGAAAGAAAAUAAAAAUAAAGGUAAGAAACGUUA